This is a long non-coding RNA of Ochotona curzoniae (black-lipped pika), 154 nucleotides long. RefSeq lists it as uncharacterized. The transcript is spliced from 4 exons. The record is from RefSeq and is a predicted model, not a curated record. Lineage: Eukaryota; Metazoa; Chordata; Mammalia; Lagomorpha; Ochotonidae.
GAAUCUACCCCAGGACCUGGUUCUCCCAUGUGCUGGUUAGUGUCAUGGCCCUGCCUAAAGCGACCUGUCCCCUAUUCUGACAUUCAUUCAGGUCCUGGGAUCUAGCCCUGCCAGACAGGCCCCAGCCCUAGCUUUUGUGUGAAUUGGCUAGUGG